AAAACUUUCAACAACGGAUCUCUUGGCUCUGGCAUCGAUGAAGAACGCAGCGAAAUGCGAUAAGUAAUGUGAAUUGCAGAAUUCAGUGAAUCAUCGAAUCUUUGAACGCACAUUGCGCCCGCCAGUAUUCUGGCGGGCAUGCCUGUUCGAGCGUCAUUACAACCCUCAGGCCCCCGGGCCUGGCGUUGGGGAUCGGCGGAAGCCCCCUGCGGGCACAACGCCGUCCCCCAAAUACAGUGGCGGUCCCGCCGCAGCUUCCAUUGCGUAGUAGCUAACACCUCGCAACUGGAGAGCGGCGCGGCCACGCCGUAAAACACCCAACUUCUGAAUGUUGACCUCGAAUCAGGUAGGAAUACCCGCUGAACUUAAGCAUAUCAAUAAGCGGAGGAAAAGAAACCAACAGGGAUUGCCCCAGUAACGGCGAGUGAAGCGGCAACAGCUCAAAUUUGAAAUCUGGCUCUCGGGCCCGAGUUGUAAUUUGUAGAGGAUGCUUUUGGUGAGGUGCCUUCCGAGUUCCCUGGAACGGGACGCCAUAGAGGGUGAGAGCCCCGUCUGGUUGGACACCGAUCCUCUGUAAAGCUCCUUCGACGAGUCGAGUAGUUUGGGAAUGCUGCUCUAAAUGGGAGGUAUAUGUCUUCUAAAGCUAAAUACCGGCCAGAGACCGAUAGUGCACAAGUAGAGUGAUCGAAAGAUGAAAAGCACUUUGGAAAGAGAGUCAAAAAGCACGUGAAAUUGUUGAAAGGGAAGCGCUUGCAGCCAGACUUGCUCGCAGUUGCUCAUCCGGGCUGGAGCCCGGUGUACUCUUCUGCGAGCAGGCCAGCAUCAGUUUGGGCGGCUGGACAAAGGCCUCUGACACGUACUUCCCCGCGGGGGUUGACAUAUAGGGGAGGCGGCAUGCAGCCAGCCUGGACUGAGGACCGCGCAUUUGCUAGGAUGCUGGCGUAAUGGCUGUAAGCGGCCCGUCUUGAAACACGGACC
This 978-nucleotide ribosomal RNA is filed under the name uncultured Hypocreales. RNAcentral's name for it is "eukaryotic LSU rRNA". The stretch from base 333 to 978 matches the Rfam family "Eukaryotic large subunit ribosomal RNA", at positions 1 to 667 of the family's 3401-position model. The record is from RNAcentral. Lineage: Eukaryota; Fungi; Ascomycota; Sordariomycetes; Hypocreales.